RNAcentral lists this ribosomal RNA (253 nucleotides) under uncultured bacterium. Its description in RNAcentral is "partial 16S ribosomal RNA". It matches the Rfam family "Bacterial small subunit ribosomal RNA", at positions 524 to 776 of the family's 1533-position model. The record is from RNAcentral.
UACGUAGGGGGCAAGCGUUAUCCGGAUUCACUGGGCGUAAAGGGAGCGCAGGCGGCACGGCAAGUCUGGUGUGAAAGCCCGGGGCCCAACCCCGGGACUGCAUUGGAAACUGCCGGGCUGGAGUGCCGGAGGGGUAAGCGGAAUUCCUGGUGUAGCGGUGAAAUGCGCAGAUAUCAGGAAGAACACCGGUGGCGUAGGCGGCUUACUGGACGGCAACUGACGCUGAGGCUCGAAAGCGUGGGGAGCAAGCAGG